Molecule: long non-coding RNA, 1021 nt
Organism: Poecilia latipinna (sailfin molly)
Lineage: Eukaryota; Metazoa; Chordata; Actinopteri; Cyprinodontiformes; Poeciliidae
Exons: 3
Source: RefSeq, a predicted model, not a curated record
CUUUGUUUGCCAUUAGUGAAUUUCUUUCUCAGUAUGAAUUAUCAUCUGGCUCUGCUUUGCUUCUUUUAGGUGACCGAAACAAGGACGGGCCCACUUGGAUGCAGUAACUAUGACAACCUCGACUCUGUCAGCUCUGUUUUGGUUCAGAGCCCUGAAAACAAGAUUCAUUUGCAAGGCCUCCAGGCCAUACUGCCAGAAUAUCUGAGAGCCAGGUUUGUGCAGGCUGCUCUAAGUUAUAUUGGCUGUAAUGAAGAGGGCCAGUUUGUGUGCCGGGACAACGACUGUUGGUGCCAGUGUGCUGUCGACUAUCCGCAAUGUAAUUGCCCUGAGGUUGAUCUGAGGGCUAUGGAAGGCAGUUUACUGCAAAUCAGAGAUUCAUGGAACAUGGCCAACCAAGACUUUGAGGCAUCAGAAGAGUUUCAAAAUUUUGUUCGACGGCUUCCCACAUUCUACGCCCUGAACUCGUCUGCCAUCCAGUAUUUCUGGAAGACGGAGCCGUCCAUUCACCAGCGCUACAAACAGCUAGAGCUCGGCACACAGCAGCUUGCAAGCAAAGCACGGCGCAUCAUCAACAAGAUCUUCACCCUCAGCAAGAGAUGUCAAACUCAGCCAAAAAUUAUUAUGCUACGGGAAAGGUGAGAAACUGAGAAGUUUUUCUGAUGACCUUUUUUUUUUAUUUUUUAUUUUUACACAGAAGUGGAUGUAUGCGUUUGUGGAACACAUUUAAUUUUUCCAUUCACCGAUUUGUGCAGUGCUUUUUUAUCAGACGAACGAGGCAUCGCAUAGUAUGGACACACAAUGAAUGAAUUCUUUGACAUUAAGCUGAGCUCCUGCUGAACUAAGCUGCAGUCACACCUGAUCUCUUGGCUGCAUUUCCCAUCCAUAUCUUCUUUACUUUCACAAAAUCAGAACUAUCCUUCUGUGAAAUUAAAGUUUGCUGUAUUUUAAAGAAUGUUACAUUUCUGAAAUGAUAAAAAUAAGGGAUUUGCCUAAACAUAAAUGAAGCAUAGGAUUGUUUUGU